UACGUAGGGAGCGAGCGUUGUCCGAAGUUACUGGGCGUAAAGCGCGCGUAGGCGGGCCAUUAAGUGAGAGGUGAAAUUCCAGGGCUCAACCCGGGGACUGCCUCUCAUACUGAUAGUCUUGAGUGAGGUAGAGAGAAGUGGAAUGGCUGGUGUAGCGGUGAAAUGCGUAGAUAUCAGUCGGAACACCGGUGGCGAAGGCGGCUUCUUGGGCCUUUACUGACGCUGAUGCGCGAAAGCCAGGGUAGCGAACGGG
RNAcentral lists this ribosomal RNA (253 nucleotides) under uncultured bacterium. RNAcentral describes it as "partial 16S ribosomal RNA". It matches the Rfam family "Bacterial small subunit ribosomal RNA", at positions 524 to 776 of the family's 1533-position model. The record is from RNAcentral.